GCUGCAUUAGUUCAGUUGGCUAUGGCGUAGCACUCUAAGUAAGAUACUGCAGGUUCGAAGCCUGUAUGGAGCA
Molecule: non-coding RNA, 73 nt
Organism: Cladochytrium replicatum
Lineage: Eukaryota; Fungi; Chytridiomycota; Chytridiomycetes; Cladochytriales; Cladochytriaceae
Source: the annotation of a GenBank genome assembly